RNAcentral lists this non-coding RNA (26 nucleotides) under Homo sapiens (human). Lineage: Eukaryota; Metazoa; Chordata; Mammalia; Primates; Hominidae. The record is from RNAcentral.
UGUUCCUUCCAGAAGGCCUGAUACUC